AACGAACGCUGGCGGCAGGCUUCAUACAUGCAAGUCGAGCGAUUAAAGCUCCUUCGGGAGUGUAUAAAGCGGCGAACGGGUGAGUAACAGGUGGAUAACCUGCCUUCUGGUGGGGGAUAACUCCGCGAAAGCGGGGCUAAUACCGCAUUUGAUUGUCCGGACCUCGGUCUGGGCAAGGAAAGGCGCUUCGGCGCCGCCAGGAGAUGGGUCCGCCCCCCAUUAGCUAGUUGGUGAGAUAAUAGCCCACCAAGGCUGUGAUGGGUAGCCGAGCUGAGAGGUUGAUCGGCCACACUGGAACUGAGACACGGUCCAGACACCUACGGGUGGCAG
RNAcentral lists this ribosomal RNA (330 nucleotides) under uncultured Candidatus Sumerlaeota bacterium. RNAcentral's name for it is "bacterial SSU rRNA". It matches the Rfam family "Bacterial small subunit ribosomal RNA", at positions 29 to 351 of the family's 1533-position model. Lineage: Bacteria; Candidatus Sumerlaeota. The record is from RNAcentral.